CUCUGUUACUGGAAUGCACAUCUCCUUGCCUGAGGCUUUCUCCGAAGCAUUUUCUUGUUUCAGAGUCUGCUUCUGGCUGGGGAGGACCUAAACUAUGGCAACUGUUAAAGGGCAUCAUUAUCCUUCAGUCACAGACAGACUGCAACCAGCAAAGAGAGAGAAGAAGAAAAAAAGAUCGGUCGACUGCCUCCUACACAACCCCC
Molecule: long non-coding RNA, 203 nt
Organism: Molossus molossus (Pallas's mastiff bat)
Lineage: Eukaryota; Metazoa; Chordata; Mammalia; Chiroptera; Molossidae
Exons: 3
Source: RefSeq, a predicted model, not a curated record